CCUAUUUAUUCCGGCGAUACUUCUCCAAUCGUAGUUGGCCAGGGAUAUCUUUGAAUGGGUGUUCACUAAUCCAUUUUUGCUUUUGUGGAGAUGGGAGGGGAUCGCGCUUUGAUAAAGCCAAAUGAAUGGAUGAGCCUUUAUAUGGCAUUGAGAGAAGUUCAUGAGGCAGAAGCUCAUGUCUGGCGCUCGCAAACUCUUCGAAUUCUGUCCACAGUGACAAAUCCGAACACCGAAUCUCGACUUGCUAGGUGCAUUUGUCUGGCGGUAGAUCAAAGAGAAACCAGUUUUCUCGCCAGUCCAGCCGCACUGCUGCUCCAGCGCGGCCGUAAUCUCGAAAUCAAAGACCAGUGCAGAC
RNAcentral lists this small RNA (355 nucleotides) under Histoplasma ohiense. RNAcentral's name for it is "hypothetical lncRNA". The record is from RNAcentral. Lineage: Eukaryota; Fungi; Ascomycota; Eurotiomycetes; Onygenales; Ajellomycetaceae.